GUAAAAUAAUAGCAUAAUAACCUAUAAACAGUGACCACUCCAUUUUUCUAGGUUCUGGGUUUAACUGGACUAGUUGUUGCUCUUUUGAAGCAAAACUACUCCAGUUGAACCGCAAAGAACUACCAAGACGAACAAUGACCUGGGCAAAUGAGAAAUUGGAUGAGAAACUGUUCUUAUUUUAGUUCCAAACUC
Sphaeramia orbicularis (orbiculate cardinalfish) is the source of this 192-nucleotide long non-coding RNA. RefSeq lists it as uncharacterized. The record is from RefSeq and is a predicted model, not a curated record. NCBI's taxonomy places the organism in Eukaryota, Metazoa, Chordata, Actinopteri, Kurtiformes, Apogonidae. The transcript is spliced from 2 exons.